AAAGAACAGGUCCUUCCCUACACUUACCAAUAAAUGCAUCAGUAAAUAAAUUUAACCUAAUAACAACUAUAUAUAUAUAUAUAACUGACAAGCAAGCAGUUCCCUGUUCCUAUUCCUAAACAAUUUCCUAAUUCCAUGUCAAUUACUUGGAAAUUUCAAAUUGGAAAAUAGUAAGCAACAAAGUUAUCUCUGCCAAUACCACAAAAAAAAAAAAAAAACAAACAUACACCAUAUUGACAAUAAAGUACUUCAACUUGUACUACUCAUUCAAAAAUAUAAUCUUGAACUGUAUGAUCAUGCCAUUCAGGUAAAACUUAAGAGGGCAUUGCUUGCAAUAGCUUGUCAUAGUUCUAUCAAAGAGCAGAAUACAUUACACAUUGGCAGUUUGUUUAAAUGUAUUUAUUGAAAUAAGUGCUUAUUUUAAUAAACUAAGCAAUUUUCUUUUUCUUAGUGUGAUCUACUUUAAAAUAAUAAUAAUAAUUUUCUGCUUAUUUUAAAAGAACACUUAUUAUAAAGUUAUUAUUUUAAGUUUAAACAAACCCACCAUCACCUUAUGCGGCCUGAGGAUACCCAUAUCCCAAAUGAAAAGAUAGAGUCUCUUUUACACCAGAACCCAAAUCACCAUAGCAAAAUCUCACCAUGCUUAUUUAAUGCCAGGAAAGGGUAACAUUUUGAUCCAAAACAAAUUCAAUAGCAUACAACAUUAACUUAAAAAACAAUCCUUUUUUAUUCUACAACUCCCUUGCAAGGGAUAAGGUGAAAAAAUUGCAUUACAUGACCUUACAACGCGGGUGGCCCGAAGAAUGUCACGGUAGAGACUCAGCGCUUCGCGGCGAGUGCUGGUGAGUUGCCUCCGAUUCUCCAACUCGUUUUCGUUGUUGUUUUUAACGAGAUGCCUCUUGAGAAGCUCCUCUACGGUAUCAGGGCCCUCGUGCAAUAGACGCAGCUGCUGACUCGGGCUAUCAAUACAAUUCCAAACGCAUCGCCAUUUUUGCAGCCUUCCCCUCAUUUCUCUUCUUUCACGCUCCCUCAGGCCACUCUAUUUUAUUUAUUC
RNAcentral lists this long non-coding RNA (1054 nucleotides) under Glycine max (soybean). Its description in RNAcentral is "long non-coding RNA (GMAX_LNC003299)". Lineage: Eukaryota; Viridiplantae; Streptophyta; Magnoliopsida; Fabales; Fabaceae. The record is from RNAcentral.